Molecule: transfer RNA, 64 nt
Filed under: Aleyrodes shizuokensis
Lineage: Eukaryota; Metazoa; Arthropoda; Insecta; Hemiptera; Aleyrodidae
Description: tRNA-Cys
Source: RNAcentral
AUAUUUAUAGUUAAAAAUCAUAACAUUAAAGUGCAAAUUUAAAAUUAAUACAAAUUUAAAUAUA